CCCUAAAAAGAUUGCCAGAUCAGAAGAGGAGACAGUGGAAGAGAACACACAGGAGACAGUGGAAGAGAGCACACAGGAGACAGUGGAAGAGAGCACACAGGAGACAGAACACACAGGAGACAGUGGAAGAGAGCACACAGGAGACAG
Molecule: long non-coding RNA, 147 nt
Organism: Etheostoma spectabile (orangethroat darter)
Lineage: Eukaryota; Metazoa; Chordata; Actinopteri; Perciformes; Percidae
Exons: 3
Source: RefSeq, a predicted model, not a curated record